This 465-nucleotide long non-coding RNA is filed under the name Monodelphis domestica (gray short-tailed opossum). RNAcentral's name for it is "lncRNA (ENSMODG00000033234.1)". The record is from RNAcentral. Lineage: Eukaryota; Metazoa; Chordata; Mammalia; Didelphimorphia; Didelphidae.
GUGCAUUUUGGGGGAUUGUGCUAAUGAAUUCAGGAAUCACAGGGUGCCUUGGGAGCUGUCAUCAGUCUCUUUUCCCCCUAGCUCAUCAUCCAUGAUCUGAUUCUCUUAAAAGAUCAGAAAGAAAAGACUUGAUUUUGUAGUGUUUGCAUGGGAUCUUGGAAGGAGAGAAGAAAACUGAACAAAGAUUUACAGCCUUUGAACCAGAGGAGAGCCCAUCACCACCUCAAGCCUGAUCCUUUGUGUACAAGGCAGAGCAAAGAAGAAGUAAGAUUUCUUCCUCAGUCUCUUUUGUGUACAGGAAGUCCUGGGCCUUCUCCCAUCAGAAAUCUGACUCAGCAGGGAACAAAUGGGUCAGGUUCCCAUAUUAUAUUUGUGUCAGGACAGCAAAGGGAAGGCAAAGUUUGUAUUCAGAACCAUCAAGAAGAAGACCUGGAUCUAAGAGGCAAAGCUGUUAGAGUAAAGUAA